Molecule: non-coding RNA, 220 nt
Organism: Pelobates cultripes (western spadefoot toad)
Lineage: Eukaryota; Metazoa; Chordata; Amphibia; Anura; Pelobatidae
Source: the annotation of a GenBank genome assembly
AUAUAGGAGGCCCUUGCACACACACACACACAAACACACACAAAAACCUUGACACACAGAUACAUGCACUGGCACACACACAUAGAUGUCCACACAUACACACUGCCACAUACACACUGUGGCGCAUACAUUCACACUGCCACAUACACACUGACACACAGACUGGCACAUACACUCAGAUACGCACACUGGCACAUACACUCAGAUACCCACACUGGCU